AAGACAUGACUAAAUGUAUAAGAAUUUUAUUCAUGGAAGGACCUAUGUAGAGAUAUGCACAGCCAGGCCAGGUCAAGAGAACAGAGGGGACACUAUACAAAUAUGAACAGCAAUGAAGUAGAGAAGAAGUGGGUGGAAAUGUUCAAGACUGCUGUGCUGCCCACAGAAGAGUCAGCAAAGGAGAAGUGAGAGGACUGGAGAAAACACCCAUCCGGGAGAUGUGCCAGUGACCAGUACACCCCUAUGAAGCAGGUUUGGUGAGUCUUUGAUGAACUGGAGCACAAAUGUAGGAGGAGACAGAGAAGAUGGGUGGGGCAAGUGGCAACUGGAGAGAUCUUUGAAAGAUUCCUG
This 351-nucleotide long non-coding RNA is filed under the name Chinchilla lanigera (long-tailed chinchilla). Its description in RNAcentral is "lncRNA (ENSCLAG00000025619.1)". The record is from RNAcentral. Lineage: Eukaryota; Metazoa; Chordata; Mammalia; Rodentia; Chinchillidae.